UCAUAAUAUAGUAAGGAUAAAAAAUAUCUAAAAAUAUCAUAUUAUAGUAAGGCGUAUAAAACCAUCAAAUAUUCUGGUUCAGCUGUAAUGUUGAAUAUUUAUCUGUGUUUUCAUGGUUAAACUGUUGUUGAGGAAUAGGUAGUAGUGUAUUGAUCAUUUUCCUUUGUAUGUUUCUCUGUGAUUUCCUCCAGGUGUCACCACUUCCUCCAUGACAUCAUCCACAAUCAGAGACCUUGUCAAAGAUGAGAGAGAGGACAGAGGCCUCCAGCUGAAUUCACAGAAACAACAGGAUCCACCAAUAGUGAAGAUGACAGCAGCUGAAGACCUGAGGAUUUGGAUGAAAGAAAAGAAGUGUUAUGAAGCUAUUAAUUAGAUAAAAGACCUCCACCAUCUAACUGCUGUAAACAGUGUUGUUUCCUGUUGUUCAAGUAAAAACAUUUUGUUUUUUUCUACCAUCUGUAAUGUAGUCAUGGGCACAUUUUCCAAAGACUAAUAUAUCUUUAUUAAACACCUGUGAGAACAUUGAACUACUUAUGAUACAGCAAUUUAAUUAAUGAUCGUAUCACAAGCAGUUAAAUGAUCACAAAGAUGGUUAGUAGACAUGUUCAUCUUUUUUUUUUUAAAUGUGCUCAUAACAUCAUUAACCCUAACCAGCUCUAACAAGUGUUUCCUUGUGGUCAAAUGUCAUCUUUGCGGUCAAAUAUCAUCUUUGCUGUGAUUUGUUAAAUGUUGUCUGGAAUAAAAUCAUUAAGUUUCUUCCUAAACUUUUGAGUUACAUUUCUUGUUUUUAUAACUGAUGUUAUACAAAUAAUUUUAUUUUUUAUCAGAAAAAUGUCAUUUCUAAUGUUUUAA
Lates calcarifer (barramundi perch) is the source of this 852-nucleotide long non-coding RNA. RefSeq lists it as uncharacterized. The transcript has 3 exons. The record is from RefSeq and is a predicted model, not a curated record. NCBI's taxonomy places the organism in Eukaryota, Metazoa, Chordata, Actinopteri, Centropomidae.